UGAGGAAUAUUGGUCAAUGGACGGGAGUCUGAACCAGCCAAGUAGCGUGCAGGAUGACGGCCCUAUGGGUUGUAAACUGCUUUUAUAGGGGGAUAAAGUGUGCCACGUGUGGCAUAUUGCAGGUACCCUAUGAAUAAGGACCGGCUAAUUCCGUGCCAGCAGCCGCGGUAAUACGGAAGGUCCGGGCGUUAUCCGGAUUUAUUGGGUUUAAAGGGAGCGUAGGCGGUCUGGUAAGUCAGCUGUGAAAACGCGGGGCUCAACUCCGCGCCUGCAGUUGAUACUGUCGGACUUGAGUGCACGCAGGGAUGCCGGAAUUCAUGGUGUAGCGGUGAAAUGCUUAGAUAUCAUGAAGAACUCCGAUCGCGAAGGCAGGUGUCCGGAGUGCUACUGACGCUGAGGCUCGAAAGUGUGGGUAUC
RNAcentral lists this ribosomal RNA (417 nucleotides) under uncultured Prevotella sp. Its description in RNAcentral is "bacterial SSU rRNA". It matches the Rfam family "Bacterial small subunit ribosomal RNA", at positions 355 to 769 of the family's 1533-position model. Lineage: Bacteria; Pseudomonadati; Bacteroidota; Bacteroidia; Bacteroidales; Prevotellaceae. The record is from RNAcentral.